Molecule: ribosomal RNA, 443 nt
Filed under: uncultured bacterium
Lineage: Bacteria
Description: partial 16S ribosomal RNA
Rfam family: Bacterial small subunit ribosomal RNA
Source: RNAcentral
CCUACGGGAGGCAGCAGUGGGGAAUAUUGGGCAAUGGAGGCAACUCUGACCCAGCAACGCCGCGUGAAUGAUGAAGGUCUUCGGAUUGUAAAGUUCUGUGAUGGGGGAUGAACACAAUGAAGGUACCCCAAUAGCAAGCCACGGCUAACUUCGUGCCAGCAGCCGCGGUAAUACGUAGGUGGAAAGCGUUAUCCGGAUUGACUGGGCGUAAAGGGUGCGUAGGUGGUUUAGUAAGUUGGCGGUGUAAGUCCGGGGGCCAACCUCUGCGCUACCGCCAAAACUAGUCGACUAGAGUGCAGGAGAGGUAAGUGGAAUUCCUGGUGAAGCGGUGGAAUGCGUAGAUAUAAGGAGGAACAUCAGGGGCGAAGGCGACUUACUGGACUGUAACUGACACUGAGGCACGAAAGCGUGGGGAGCAAACAGGAUUAGAUACCCUUGUAGUC